GGUGGGGCUCAGUGGCAGAGCGCUCGCCUUGCACGUGGGAGGCCCUGGGUUUGAUCCUCAGCACC
Molecule: transfer RNA, 65 nt
Filed under: Ictidomys tridecemlineatus (thirteen-lined ground squirrel)
Lineage: Eukaryota; Metazoa; Chordata; Mammalia; Rodentia; Sciuridae
Description: Spermophilus tridecemlineatus (thirteen-lined ground squirrel) tRNA
Rfam family: tRNA
About the family: Transfer RNA (tRNA) molecules are approximately 80 nucleotides in length. Their secondary structure includes four short double-helical elements and three loops (D, anti-codon, and T loops).
Source: Rfam by way of RNAcentral